This 489-nucleotide ribosomal RNA is filed under the name uncultured Eubacteriales bacterium. RNAcentral describes it as "uncultured Clostridiales bacterium partial 16S ribosomal RNA". Lineage: Bacteria; Bacillati; Bacillota; Clostridia; Eubacteriales. The record is from RNAcentral.
CACGUAGUUAGCCGUGGCUUAUUCUUACGGUACCGUCACUUUCUUCGUCCCGUACAAAAGAAGUUUACAAUCCGAAAACCUUCAUCCUUCACGCGGCAUUGCUGCAUCAGGGUUCCCCCCAUUGUGCAAUAUUCCCCACUGCUGCCUCCCGUAGGAGUCUGGGCCGUGUCUCAGUCCCAAUGUGGCCGUCCGCCCUCUCAGGCCGGCUACUGAUCGUCGCCUUGGUGGGCCGUUACCCCGCAACAAGCUAAUCAGACGCGGGUCCAUCUUACACCACCGGAGUUUUUCACACCGCUUCAUGCGAAGCUGUGCGCUUAUGCGGUUUUAGCACCUAUUUCUAAGUGUUAUCCCCCUGUGUAAGGCAGGUUGCCCAGCGUUACUCACCCGUCCGCCACUAACCCAUAUAUCACUAGGUUUCAAUAUGGGUCCGUUCGACUUGCAUGUGUUAAGCACGCCGCCAGCGUUCAUCCUGAGCCAGGAUCAAACUCU